CAGUAGCCACGGUAAUACGGAGGAUCCGAGCGUUAUCCGGAUUUAUUGGGUUUAAAGGGUGCGUAGGCGGCCUAUUAAGUCAGGGGUGAAAGACGGUAGCUUAACUAUCGCAGUGCCUUUGAUACUGAUGGGCUUGAAUGUACUUGAAGUGGGCGGAAUGUGACAAGUAGCGGUGAAAUGCAUAGAUAUGUCACAGAACACCAAUUGCGAAGGCAGCUUACUAAGCUAUGAUUGACGCUGAGGCACGAAAGCGUGGGGAUCAAACAGGAUUAGAUACCCGCGUAGUCCCUGUCUCUUAUAC
RNAcentral lists this ribosomal RNA (301 nucleotides) under uncultured bacterium. RNAcentral describes it as "partial 16S ribosomal RNA". It matches the Rfam family "Bacterial small subunit ribosomal RNA", at positions 509 to 807 of the family's 1533-position model. The record is from RNAcentral.